Molecule: long non-coding RNA, 1904 nt
Filed under: Homo sapiens (human)
Lineage: Eukaryota; Metazoa; Chordata; Mammalia; Primates; Hominidae
Description: HSALNT0153395
Source: RNAcentral
GACGUGAGCCACCGCACCUGGCCAUACCUAACUUAUUAAGCAGUAAUUUUCUUUCUUUUUUGAAUUGCUACUUCCCUGAUUAUACAAAUAAUACAUACUCAGAAUAGAAAAUUUGAGAAAUUCCAAAAAAUCUAAAGGAGGAAAGAAAAUCACUCAUAAUUACAGAUGUAAAUAUUAAUAUACCUCUAUGCAUAUACUGUGUUUACAUGCUUGAGAGUACACUGUAUUUCUUGAUUUAUUACCUGAUGUUUAUUGUGCAUACUACAUUGUAUAUAUUUGUCCAUGUUAAUUUUUCAGACAUUUUUAACAAAUUCAUAAUAUUUUAAAAUGGAAAACAGGAAAAAAAACCCCUACAUAUAACAAGUGGAAAUGAAAUAGUUUUCUGCUGGAUUCUCAGCAACCUUUCACUUUUCUUUAGGUUUUUGAGGGUAAUAACAAUAUUGGAGGACUAGGCUCAGAGAUUAUUUUCACUUUCUCUACCGUAAGAGUUAAGGCCCAUUUCCACUGUCAGAAGUUCUCAUAAUGCCCUUUUGUAAAAUGAAAAAUGAGUGUGAUGUACAUUUUUUCUUAGUGAGGCAAAGCACACAUAGGGUGUAAUAACCAAAGCUGUGAACUCACAGCAUCAAAGGACAGCACAGUGCUGCCGUGGUUUCCCAAGAGACUUCUCCAACUCCACUCAUCCUCUGUCAACUUUCUGGCUCCAGAUACUGCUGUUUUACUUCCAGGUCUUUGUGUUUUUAAACUCAACCACACUUACAUUUUUGUAAGCACCUCUGCAAUUGUGUAAGCCUCAACUCGAAGAACAUUCACAAUUCAUUUAAUAUUUGGAGAACACAUAUAUAUAAGGCCCUUUGCUAAAUUUUGAUGCCAAAUAAACUUGAUGUCCACUCAAUGUUGUAGGAAUAUACAAAGAUGAAAAGACUCUACCUCUUGAGGCAGGCACUGGCAAUAUUUCAGAAAAGCAUGUUGAAGUAAAAAUAUUUCUCAGGUUAUUCUUGGAAAGUGGAAUUUGACUCAAUAUUGAUAUAUUCUUUUAGCAGACUGUAAUUCAGCAGGACUCCAUUUUCAAACUUGUCUUCCCUGAGGUGGGCAGCAAUUGAAAUCUUUGUUCAGGUCUUUUAGGCUUAACAUCACUUACGUAUAGUGUAGAGAUCAGCCGGUAUUUGGGUAUAGUAAACACAAAAAUUUGAGGCUCUCGUUGGUCUGUCUGCCUAUUUUCUGUGGCUUUAUCUUCCAGAUUUUCAAUCUCCAUGACCUUCAUGAACUCUGUCCUGUUCCUUCAGGCCAGUAAGACUGAUGUUUUCUACCUGGAUUUUAGUUACCCUGUAAAAUGACGCUGACUAGGUCCUUCUCUUAUCUUAAAAUCAGCAAAAGUAAAUCAUCCAUGCCAUUUUUUCUGGCAAAUAUCGACUGCUCCAAUCCAGUUUCUGGAUGCUUUUGGCCACUUCAGGAAAAUGUAUGUAUGUGUCAUUGGGAAUGUGCCUGUCCUUCUGCUAGUGCUGGAAACUAAAUGCUGGAUAGGAUACAGUCCCUACCCUCAAGCAUUAGUUUGAGAGAACUCUGUAACAGACAUUACUGACAUUUUACAAAUAAGGAGUUUUAGGCUCAGAGUGAUAGUGACAGAGGACAGACAAAUUCUUACACAGACAGGGAUGAGUCCCUGGUGAAAGCCGACCUUCAAGCCAAAGACAGCCUGAAGCCUGAAGACGGAUAUGCUGGAUGGAUAGAGUCCACCACCGGUGUGAGAACUUCCUCAAUGCCUUUUAACCAAUUGAAUGGUGCUUUUUCCAAGACCACGCAUGGACCCCAUCAGCACCCACUUCGCCAUUCUGAGCCCAUAAAAACCAGCCAGACUCAGCCAGACAGACGGCGACCCACUCUUGGGUCCCCUGUUUGCUGACAGC